RNAcentral lists this ribosomal RNA (245 nucleotides) under uncultured Bacillota bacterium. RNAcentral's name for it is "uncultured Firmicutes bacterium partial 16S ribosomal RNA". It matches the Rfam family "Bacterial small subunit ribosomal RNA", at positions 524 to 768 of the family's 1533-position model. The record is from RNAcentral. Lineage: Bacteria; Bacillati; Bacillota.
UACGUAGGUGGCGAGCGUUGUCCGGAAUCAUUGGGCGUAAAGAGCGCGUAGGUGGCUUGUCAGGUCUGAUGUGAAAUCCUGGGGCUCAACUCCAGAACUGCAUCGGAAACCGGCUUGCUAGAGUCUGGGAGAGGAGAGUGGAAUUCCUGGUGUAGCGGUGAAAUGCGUAGAUAUCAGGAGGAACACCGGUAGCGAAGGCGGCUCUCUGGAACAGUACUGACACUGAGGCGCGAAAGCUAGGGGAG